GGGGCAGCCCGGCUAGUGGAGCCUGCGGCUUACUUUGACUAUCCACGGGAAAACUCGCCCGGGGCGGACACCGUCAGGAUUGACAGAUUGGGAGCUCUUUCUUGAUUCACCGGGCGGUGGAGCAUGGCCAUCGAUAGUUGGUGAAGCGAUUUGUCUGGUUAAUUCCGAUAACUAACGAGACUCUAUCCUGCUUAAUAGGCAGCGGAUUCUUAAUCCCCUGUCCUUCUUAGAGGGACAAGCACCGUCUAGCUGCACGAUAUUGAGCAAUAACAUGUCUGUGAUGCCCUUAGAUGUUCAGAGCUGCACGCGCGCUACACUGAAGGAAUCAACAUGCUUCUCAACCUUGCCCGGAAGGGCUAGGUAACCCGUUGAAACUCCUUCGUGAUUGGGAUAGGGAAUUGCAAUUAUUUCCCUUGAACGACGAAUUCCCAGUAAGUGCGGGUCAUCAGCUCGCGCUGAUUACGUCCCUGCCCUUUGUACACACCGCCCGUCUCUACUACCGAUUGCAUAUAGACGAUA
RNAcentral lists this ribosomal RNA (519 nucleotides) under uncultured eukaryote. RNAcentral describes it as "bacterial SSU rRNA". It matches the Rfam family "Eukaryotic small subunit ribosomal RNA", at positions 1161 to 1704 of the family's 1831-position model. The record is from RNAcentral.